Ficedula albicollis (Collared flycatcher) is the source of this 5484-nucleotide RNA transcript. It is a transcript of the gene named solute carrier family 39 member 6, with no coding region annotated. The transcript is spliced from 12 exons. Lineage: Eukaryota; Metazoa; Chordata; Aves; Passeriformes; Muscicapidae. The record is from RefSeq and is a predicted model, not a curated record.
UUUUUACUACUGAAAAGGAACUGCAAUGGAGAGUACGGUAUCAGUUAUUUUCCUCGUAUCGUUUUCCAUACUGCUGUGUGAAAGUUACCAUCAUGGAGUGGAGACGGCUACUGUUGUGCAUACAUCGGAAAGAGCUUUUCCAGAAAAGACAGUGGGUGUUAAUACUGACUUGGCAGGACUAAUACAGAAGUUGCACCUUCAAGAACUUUUUAAUCGUUACGGAGAAAACAACUCUCUGUCAAUUGAUGGGUUUAGAAAGCUGCUACAGAACAUAGGUAUAGAUAAAAUGAAAAGGAUUAAAAUGAGCCACGAUCACGAUCAUGACCACGAUCAUGAUCAUGACCACAGUCACGACCAUCAUGACCAUCACGACCAUGACCAUGAUCAUCACUCUCAUCAUAAUCAUGUUUCAUUGAGUAAAAGCUCUGAGAAGACUGCGUGUCCAAACCACGAAUCUGAUGCUGGCAAAGACCACAGGAGCGGCCACGGGAAGGAGCCUCACAAGGCCGAGAGCGUGGAGCGGCAGCAGAACUUCGUGCGGGGCAAGAGCGCGGCUCAGGAGAGCACGGCGCCCGUCAUCGCCGCUCCCGCUCCCGUGGGCGGCCGCGCCGAGCCCCAGAGCGCGCAGCCCGGGGACGGCAGGACGGUUCUCCGGGUGGCCGCCGGCCCCGGGGCCCUCGAUGCCACCGGGGGCCGCAAUGCCACCGGGCUGGGUGCCGCAAAGGCCAACGAAUCUCAUGCCUCUCCGAAGGAACUGGAGAGAGGGAGCAACCUCUAUUCUAAACUGAAGAAACAAAGCACUCAAGAGUGCUCCAAUGCAUCCAGACUGAUGCAGUCGCAUGGAAUAGGCACUCAAGUAUUGUUGACUGCUACAGAAUUUAGUUAUCUUUGUCCAGCUCUUAUUAAUCAGAUCGAUGGCGAGUACUGCAUAGUCCAUGCUACUAGUGAAAAAGCUGAAACUCCUCCAAAAAGUUACUCCCUGCAAAUAGCUUGGAUUGGUGGCUUUAUAUCCAUCUCUGUCAUCAGCUUUCUUUCCUUGCUGGGUGUUAUAUUGGUACCACUGAUGAAUCGAGUAUUUUUCAAAUUUCUUCUGAGUUUUCUUGUGGCAUUGGCUGUGGGGACCUUGAGUGGAGAUGCCUUCUUACACCUCCUUCCACAUUCUCAUGGAAACCAUCAUCAUCACCACGAAAAGACUGUGCUUGAUCAAAAAGGCUCUAUGUACAAGCAUCUUGUUUUUCAAAGUACAGAGGAGAGUGCUUACCUGGAUUCUACAUGGAAAGGACUUACAGCACUUGGAGGCUUGUACUUCAUGUUUCUAGUGGAGCAUUUGAUCACUUUAAUAAAGCAGUUUAAAGACAAGAAGAAAAAGAAAAGAAAUGAAGAUGAUGGAGAAAGUAAGAAGUUUUCAGCAAAUGAAGAAAAGUUGGAUACGGAUGAUCGGCCUGAGGGCUAUCUAGGAGUAGACUCUCAAGAUCCAUCAACCUUCAUUUCUCAGCAGCCAACUGUACAAGAGGAAGAAGAAGUGAUGAUUGCUCAUUCUCAUCAAGAGGAGGCUGACAAUGAAUAUGUGUCCAGGGGCUGUAGAAACAAAUGCCACUCUCACUUGCACGAUACUCUAGGACAGACAGAUCAUCUAAGUCACCAUCACCAUGACUACCAUCACAUCCUGCACCACCAUCACCAUCAGAAUCAUCAUCCCCACAGUCACAGUCAGCGCUACUCGCGCGAAGAGCUGAAGGACGCGGGGAUAGCAACUCUGGCGUGGAUGGUGAUCAUGGGAGAUGGACUACACAAUUUUAGUGAUGGACUGGCGAUUGGAGCAGCCUUUACUGAAGGGUUUUCUAGUGGUUUAAGCACUUCUGUGGCUGUAUUUUGCCAUGAAUUACCUCAUGAGCUAGGAGAUUUUGCUGUCCUACUAAAAGCUGGUAUGACUGUCAAGCAAGCUGUGCUUUAUAACGCUCUGUCAGCAAUGCUGGCUUAUCUUGGUAUGGCAACUGGGAUCCUUAUUGGUCAUUAUGCAGACAAUGUUUCAAUGUGGAUAUUUGCACUUACUGCUGGCUUGUUCAUGUAUGUGGCUCUUGUGGAUAUGGUACCUGAAAUGCUCCACAAUGAUGCCAGUGACCAUGGAUGCAGCCGGUGGGGAUACUUCCUGUUACAGAAUGCUGGGAUUCUUCUGGGUUUUGGGAUAAUGCUGCUUAUCUCAGUAUUUGAACACAAGAUUGUAUUCAGCAUAAACUUGUAAUCCUGGUUGCCAGGAGUACACCUUGGUGUUAAAUUAUAAGUGGUAGGGGUAGUUUUUUUUCUACAAAUUUCCUUAUUGGAAAGGUACGUUUAAGGUAGACUAGAUUUUUUUACUGGUGUGCUUUGACUUUGUGUACUUCCCUCCCUUCUUGCCUGAUAGAAAGAAACACUGUAAAGUUUGGGGUUUGUAAAGUUUGUUGGGGAUUUAUUUGUUUGUUUGUUUUUAAUUGUGGUUUUUUACUUGGGAUUUAGCAUUGCUUGUGGUACUGUGGAAAGUGGUACUUAGUAAAACAUGGCCAAAUCUAUAUUAUUUGCAAUGUUUGGGGUGGGUUAGUUUGUUUUUUUUACUGAAUUUAUUUACUGUAUGUAAUUAUUUGUAAUGUUUUUUACUUCAGUGUUUUUUUUGGUUUAAAGAGGUAAAAUAAAAGUGGUUUUUAUUUUAGCAUAAUUAAAAUCAGUGGAUACAAAGCACAGUGAGCAAAGUAAGACAACCAUUACAAGACAUGUAAUGGUUAGCAUGUGUUUAUUGGUAAAAACUCAUCUCUUCUGCAUCCACCUGGUUUAUAUGGAAAGGCAGAGAAGUCCAUUCCAUCCUUAUGGUGCUGGUUCUCUCAGUAGCUUGUGGAUUCCUGUGUCUUACUCCAGUUGGUUUCUACUCCAAACAAAUUAAUGUAAAACCACGUUCUAAGUGUUUACAUCAAAUGUUGAACUCGUUUCAUCCCUUCUGAUAUGAGUUGCUCUUCACUGAUUUCUCAAAUCAGCAACUAAAGUCCAGCUCUUAAAUUGCCAAAGCUUUAAGAUAUGUGAAUUCCAUCAAAAAGACGUUAAAAGCAGUGCUGUACUUACUGUCCAGCACUUGACACUGCCUGAAGUGACAAAGGUGUAUUAAAGCCUGUUUGAUAUCAGGAGGGAGGAGUGCUACAGGCUUAGAUAAACAGUCAUUUCCUACAACAGCUUCCUGAAGUAAAGUGUUGAUUUACUUUAGGAAAAUGAGCUGUGUGGGAGAGCUGCCUCCUUCUAGUUCAGUGUACAGAACCUGUGCUAUAUUUUUUGCAAGAACUAAAGCUGAGAAAUCCAAAAUUAAAAAAAAAUCUUCGGUAGUGUAUCUAGCAGUGUGUUAAGGAUAAUAAGUGUAUACUGAAAUAUGUCAUGUAAGCCUACAGACUUAAUAUGUUUAACCACCCUGAAUGUCACUGAAGGAAGAAGGUUGAAAAAAACAAUAGCAAAAUGAAUUCUGCAUUUGCAGGGAAGGUGAACAUGUUAAAGUUGUUUAAUGAUGAAUAAAUAAUGGAAUUAUGCUAGCUUACUAGCUAGCUUUAAAAAUCCCAGAAAUAAAAUAAUUAGAACUUAUUUCUCAUCCACUGCUUCAAAUCAUCAGCUGAAUAAAAAGCUUGAACAACAAGAGAAAUGUUUGAUAAUAUUGUGUAUGACAGGUUAAAACAGUUUGUUGGCCUGUCAUACAAUGGAAGCCAGGAACCGUUCUAUCACCUCAGAAAAUGGAUGUUUUCAAUUAAUUGAGAGGUUUGAGGGUUUUUUAGGAGUUGAGAAAUGGGUACCACAGGAGUUUUUGCAGCCACUGGACUAUUAGCUUCUCCUCCUUCAGCCUUUCCUCAGGUUAGCAAGAUUGAUAUUUACUUUUCUGCUCACACUGCUGAAAUCCUCUUCUGCGCCUCCUUUGAAGCCAGGAGUUACAAAGGUGUACUUCCUUCAGCUCUCCUAAUGCAUCCCUGUGUCCUAGCAGGCUUUUUAGGGCUUGGGCACAGUGUUUUACCCAUGAUGUGGGAAAAUUCCAUAAAUGCAGUGCACUUCAGCCCAUGGGGCUUCCACCUUCUGCACCGCAGUCCUGCCUGCUACAGAAAUUGGGCAUCUCUGUAGUCCUGGGGGAUUUCAGACUUGGAUGAGCUCAAUUUGCCUUUAAUUUUUCACUGCUGGUUUCUGUUAGCCUACAGCCAUAAUAGCUGCCAGUUCAGGUGGACUUCUCUUGUCUGGAUAUGACACAGGAAGUGGGCAGGUAGCCUACUGUUGCUCAAAAGAUUUUCAGAUCAAUCACUAAAUGAUGGAGAUAAAUCUACAAAUUUCAGUGUUUCCAGUGGGUUCUUGGCUGGCUUUCAGUGUACUCAACUGACAUUAAAAUAUCCACCUAUCAAAACACAUUGCUAAUUUAAGAAUAAGAGAAAUGAAUUGCCUUUCAUGCAGUGGGCAUGUGGGCAGAAAUGGUUCUGUCCUGUACACAAGCAUAUUCCACCCAUUCAGUGCUCUUCAGUCAUUGAUGGAGAAAUGUCCAUGUCAGGCAGCUGUCCAAACUGAUAAAUGAGCAGGAUACAGACUAAAACUUGCUGUAGUUUUAUGUCAGCAGGAUGACAAAAGGUUGGUUGUUCUUUUUGUUUUGAGCUGGUUUGUUUUAUUUUUGUUUGUCAGCCUUAUGAAGUAGAACCUGCAUCUGUUGCAAUGUACUCCUGUUGGAAAUACUCAUGGUUUGGCAAACUGGUGGGACAGAGGCUCUAAGUAGCCCUUUAUUUUUAUGUGUAUAUUUUUCUGCUGGAGUUAUUAAUGUGCCUGGCUACUCUGAAAAAUAAAUGGAAGUGUCUGCUUUGUGUAUCCAUCUGUGGCUCAAUAAUGGUACAUACCUUAAUUUUUAUGAUGUUACAGCUGCCUUUAGUGCCUGUGCUAGAUGCAGGUAAACAGAAUGGGCAAGCAGUGCUGGAAUCAAUUUUGGUUUUUUCUGUAACAUGUUCUUCUAAUGGUUUUGGCCUGUAUUCGCACAGACGUGUGAUGUUACUGUGGGCAGCAGGAGUCAGAGCAGAGGUGUGGAGGUUCUCAAAGCUCUCCGCUGCCUGCCUGUGGGGAUCAGGUGCUGGUACGGUUUCUCUGCAUCCUUUGUGCCUAAUUGUGAUGCCACGUGUGGUGAGAAUGCAGUGUUUUAUGUUGAUAGAAAACACAGCCCAGGCUGAAACGGAAUUCAGAGGCUGAAGUGGAAUUCAGAGGCUGAAGGGGAAUUCACAGAGGCUCUCCUGCUGCCUGAACUGAGACACCAGUGCAGUUAACAUCUCUGUAGAAAAACUGAGUCCUUCUGUUUUCCACGAGCAGGAAGCAAAAAAAUGUUUUAAUGGAUUGUUAGAUUUUUGUGGGUUUUUUUGUUUGUUUGUUUUUGUUUUGUUUUGUUUUGAAUUUAAAGCACGUUUAUACAUGGUCGCUGUUGCUGUAUUGCUGUUUGCUAGAGAAAAUAAACCACUGAACCAAACC